This 497-nucleotide ribosomal RNA is filed under the name uncultured bacterium. Its description in RNAcentral is "partial 16S ribosomal RNA". It matches the Rfam family "Bacterial small subunit ribosomal RNA", at positions 28 to 507 of the family's 1533-position model. The record is from RNAcentral.
GAUGAACGCUGGCGGCGUGCCUAAUACAUGCAAGUCGAGCGAACGGACGAGAAGCUUGCUUCUCUGAUGUUAGCGGCGGACGGGUGAGUAACACGUGGAUAACCUACCUAUAAGACUGGGAUAACUUCGUGAAACCGGAGCUAAUACCGGAUAAUAUUUUGAACCGCAUGGUUCAAAAGUGAAAGACGGUCUUGCUGUCACUUAUAGAUGGAUCCGCGCUGCAUUAGCUAGUUGGUAAGGUAACGGCUUACCAAGGCAACGAUGCAUAGCCGACCUGAGAGGGUGAUCGGCCACACUGGAACUGAGACACGGUCCAGACUCCUACGGGAGGCAGCAGUAGGGAAUCUUCCGCAAUGGGCGAAAGCCUGACGGAGCAACGCCGCGUGAGUGAUGAAGGUCUUCGGAUCGUAAAACUCUGUUAUUAGGGAAGAACAUAUGUGUAAGUAACUGUGCACAUAUUGACGGUACCUAAUCAGAAAGCCACGGCUAACUACGUG